UACGAAGGGGGCUAGCGUUGUUCGGAAUCACUGGGCGUAAAGCGUAUGUAGGCGGAUCGUUAAGUCGGGGGUGAAAUCCCGAGGCUCAACCUCGGAACUGCCUUCGAUACUGGCGAUCUUCGAGUCCGGGAGAGGUGAGUGGAACUCCGAGUGUAGAGGUGAAAUUCGUAGAUAUUCGGAAGAACAACAGUGGCGAAGGCGGCUCACUGGCCCGGGACUGACGCUGAUAUACGAAAGCGUGGGGAGCAAACAGG
This 254-nucleotide ribosomal RNA is filed under the name uncultured bacterium. RNAcentral's name for it is "partial 16S ribosomal RNA". It matches the Rfam family "Bacterial small subunit ribosomal RNA", at positions 524 to 776 of the family's 1533-position model. The record is from RNAcentral.